CCUACGGGAGGCAGCAGUGGGGAAUAUUGGGCAAUGGAGGAAACUCUGACCCAGCGACGCCGCGUGCGGGAUGAAGGCCUUCGGGUUGUAAACCGCUUUCAGUAGGGAAGAAGCGAAAGUGACGGUACCUACAGAAGAAGCACCGGCUAACUAUGUGCCAGCAGCCGCGGUAAUACAUAGGGUGCAAGCGUUGUCCGGAAUUAUUGGGCGUAAAGAGCUCGUAGGUGGUUCGUCACGUCGGAUGUGAAAAUCUGGGGCUCAACCCCAGACCUGCAUUCGAUACGGGCGAUCUAGAGUGUGGUAGGGGAGACUGGAAUUCCUGGUGUAGCGGUGGAAUGCGCAGAUAUCAGGAGGAACACCAAUGGCGAAGGCAGGUCUCUGGGCCAUUACUGACACUGAGGAGCGAAAGCGUGGGGAGCGAACAGGAUUAGAUACCCUGGUAGUCCACGCCGUAAACGGUGGGCACUAGUUGUGGGAACCUUCCACGGUUUCUGCGACGCAGCUAACGCAUUAAGUGCCCCGCCUGGGGAGUACGAUCGCAAGAUUAAAACUCAAAUGAAUUGACGG
Molecule: ribosomal RNA, 567 nt
Filed under: uncultured bacterium
Lineage: Bacteria
Description: bacterial SSU rRNA
Rfam family: Bacterial small subunit ribosomal RNA
Source: RNAcentral